GAUGAACGCUGGCGGCGUGCCUAAUACAUGCAAGUCGAGCGAACAGACGAGGAGCUUGCUCCUCUGACGUUAGCGGCGGACGGGUGAGUAACACGUGGAUAACCUACCUAUAAGACUGGGAUAACUUCGGGAAACCGGAGCUAAUACCGGAUAAUAUAUUGAACCGCAUGGUUCAAUAGUGAAAGACGGUUUUGCUGUCACUUAUAGAUGGAUCCGCGCCGCAUUAGCUAGUUGGUAAGGUAACGGCUUACCAAGGCAACGAUGCGUAGCCGACCUGAGAGGGUGAACGGCCACACUGGAACUGAGACACGGUCCAGACUCCUACGGGAGGCAGCAGUAGGGAAUUUUCCGAAAUGGGCGAAAGCCUGACGGAGCAACGCCGGGGGGGUGAUGAAGGUCUUCGGAUCGUAAAACUCUGUUAUUAGGGAAGAAAAAAUGUGUAAGUAACUAUGCACGUCUUGACGGUACCUAAUCAGAAAGCCCCGGCAAACUACGC
RNAcentral lists this ribosomal RNA (496 nucleotides) under uncultured bacterium. Its description in RNAcentral is "partial 16S ribosomal RNA". It matches the Rfam family "Bacterial small subunit ribosomal RNA", at positions 28 to 506 of the family's 1533-position model. The record is from RNAcentral.